CCUACGGUGCGCAGCAGUGGGGAAUAUUGGACAAUGGGCGAAAGCCUGAUCCAGCCAUGCCGCGUGUGUGAAGAAGGCCUUCGGGUUGUAAAGCACUUUCAGUGGGGAAGAAAGCCUUGGGGCUAAUACCCUCGAGGAAGGACAUCACCCACAGAAGAAGCACCGGCUAACUCCGUGCCAGCAGCCGCGGUAAUACGGAGGGUGCGAGCGUUAAUCGGAAUUACUGGGCGUAAAGCGCGCGUAGGCGGUCUGAUAAGCCGGUUGUGAAAGCCCCUGGCUCAACCUGGGAACGGCAUCCGGAACUGUCAGGCUAGAGUGAAGGAGAGGAAGGUAGAAGUCCCGGUGUAGCGGUGAAAUGCGUAGAGAUCGGGAGGAAUACCAGUGGCGAAGGCGGCCUUCUGGACUGACACUGACGCUGAGGUGCGAAAGCGUGGGUAGCAAACAGGAUUAGAUACCCUAGUAGUC
Molecule: ribosomal RNA, 465 nt
Filed under: Vreelandella stevensii
Lineage: Bacteria; Pseudomonadati; Pseudomonadota; Gammaproteobacteria; Oceanospirillales; Halomonadaceae
Description: partial 16S ribosomal RNA
Rfam family: Bacterial small subunit ribosomal RNA
Source: RNAcentral